UGGGGAAUAUUGGACAAUGGGCGAAAGCCUGAUCCAGCCAUGCCGCGUGUGUGAAGAAGGUCUUCGGAUUGUAAAGCACUUUAAGUUGGGAGGAAGGGCAUUAACCUAAUACGUUAGUGUUUUGACGUUACCGACAGAAUAAGCACCGGCUAACUCUGUGCCAGCAGCCGCGGUAAUACAGAGGGUGCAAGCGUUAAUCGGAAUUACUGGGCGUAAAGGGCGCGUAGGUGGUUUGUUAAGUUGGAUGUGAAAUCCCCGGGCUCAACCUGGGAACUGCAUUCAAAACUGACUGACUAGAGUAUGGUAGAGGGUGGUGGAAUUUCCUGUGUAGCGGUGAAAUGCGUAGAUAUAGGAAGGAACACCAGUGGCGAAGGCGACCACCUGGACUAAUACUGACACUGAGGUGCGAAAGCGUGGGGAGCAAACA
RNAcentral lists this ribosomal RNA (427 nucleotides) under uncultured bacterium. RNAcentral describes it as "partial 16S ribosomal RNA". It matches the Rfam family "Bacterial small subunit ribosomal RNA", at positions 355 to 774 of the family's 1533-position model. The record is from RNAcentral.